CCUACGGGGGGCAGCAGUGAGGAAUAUUGGUCAAUGGUCGGGAGACUGAACCAGCCAAGCCGCGUGAGGGAGGAAGGUACAGAGUAUCGUAAACCUCUUUUGUCAGGGAACAAAGGCGGGGACGUGUCCCCGGAUGAGUGUACCUGAAGAAAAAGCAUCGGCUAACUCCGUGCCAGCAGCCGCGGUAAUACGGAGGUGGCAAGCGUUAUCCGGAUUUAUUGGGUGUAAAGGGCGUGUAGGCGGGAAAGCAAGUCAGAUGUGAAAACUCAGGGCUCAACCCUGAGCCUGCAUUUGAAAUUGUUUGUCUUGAGUGCGGGGGAGGCAAUCGGAAUUCGGGGUGUAGCGGUGAAAUGCGUAGAUAUACGGAGGAACACCAGUGGCGAAGGCAGAUUGCUGGAGAGGAACUGACGCUGAGGCGCGAAAGCGUGGGGAGCGAACAGGAUUAGAUACCCGAGUAGUC
RNAcentral lists this ribosomal RNA (460 nucleotides) under uncultured bacterium. Its description in RNAcentral is "partial 16S ribosomal RNA". It matches the Rfam family "Bacterial small subunit ribosomal RNA", at positions 338 to 795 of the family's 1533-position model. The record is from RNAcentral.